This 1710-nucleotide ribosomal RNA is filed under the name Escherichia coli DEC15C. RNAcentral's name for it is "partial 16S ribosomal RNA". Lineage: Bacteria; Pseudomonadati; Pseudomonadota; Gammaproteobacteria; Enterobacterales; Enterobacteriaceae. The record is from RNAcentral.
UGGUUCUGAUACAGAAGCAAAAAUAAAGGAUCUGGAUCUUCUUCAUUCGCCGGAAACUAUUGGCUCGCGUCCUGAUCUUGCUAAACUAACAGACAGUGAGUUGUUAGAGUCUGUUAUUAAUCCUAAGUCUGGUGAUCGAGUAACUGUUAAUACAAAAACAAAUAAAGUAAUGGAUGGUAAUUCUCGUGUAUACGAGUUGAAAAAAAGAGCUGAUGAUCCUAAUAGCUCAAUAACCGGUGAAACUACGAUACCAGUAGAAACUUACACACCUGAUGAUUCUUUUUUUUGGGACAUGUAAUAUGAAAAAUGAAUUUAUUCUCAUGAAGUUAGUCGCCAGAGGAUUGCUGGAUAUAAGAAUAGCAGCAGAUUCUGGUAAUGUGAAAGCUUGUCAUAUGUUAUCUGAUUUUAUACAUACUUUACCGUAUGCUAUUGAGAGGGUUUUAAAAGGUGAAAUUGAUUAUCAGUACGUGAUGGAUAAUUUAAAUGAAAGGGCCAAGAUAAAAAACAUGGAAGGUUGGCUUGCUAAUGCGUUGAGAGAUAUAAAUGCGUCAGAGUAAUAUCCUUUGAUAAAUAAUAAGCCGGGAAGUAUAUUAAUUCUCCCGGUUUUUAUUGCUAACUGAAAAACCACGUUCUGUGAGUGCAGCAGGACAAGAUUAUAAAAAAAUCUUUAAAAAUAUUAUGAUAUGGUAUUUUUCUUGAUGUGAAAUACUAUUAACUUUAAAAUAAGGAUAUACUUGUAUGGGUUUAUAAAAAUCACCUGAGUAUAUAUCAAUCAUCCCGGACAGGGAGAGAUUAUCGUGCAGGGAAAGAUCCAGGGAAAGAUCAUCAGAAGUUCACUUUUUGUACUAAAUAAUUCGCAUUUUAUGUUUAAAAAUUGAGAUAUUCCUUAUUACCUGAAGCUGUUUUUUAUUGCUUAUACAUGAUCAAAUACUCCUUACAUAAUUAAGGAGAACAAAAUGGAACUUAAAAAAUUGAUGGAACAUAUUUCUAUUAUCCCCGAUUACAGACAAGCCUGGAAAGUGGAACAUAAAUUAUCCGAUAUUCUACUGUUGACUAUUUGUGCCGUUAUUUCUGGUGCGGAAGGUUGGGAAGAUAUAGAGGAUUUUGGGGAAACACAUCUCGAUUUUUUGAAGCAAUAUGGUGAUUUUGAAAAUGGUAUUCCUGUUCACGAUACCAUUGCCAGAGUUGUAUCCUGUAUCAGUCCUGCAAAAUUUCACGAGUGCUUUAUUAACUGGAUGCGUGACUGCCAUUCUUCAGAUGAUAAAGACGUCAUUGCAAUUGAUGGAAAAACGCUCCGGCACUCUUAUGACAAGAGUCGCCGCAAGGGAGCGAUUCAUGUCAUUAGUGCGUUCUCAACAAUGCACAGUCUGGUUCUCGGGCAGAUUAAGACGGAUGAGAAAUCCAAUGAGAUUACAGCCAUUCCUGAACUUCUUAACAUGCUGGAUAUUAAAGGAAAAAUCAUCACAACAGAUGCGAUGGGUUGCCAGAAAGAUAUUGCAGAGAAGAUACAAAAACAGGGAGGUGAUUAUUUAUUCGCGGUAAAAGGAAACCAGGGGCGGCUAAAUAAAGCCUUUGAGGAAAAAUUUCCGCUGAAAGAAUUAAAUAAUCCAGAGCAUGACAGUUACGCAAUGAGUGAAAAGAGUCACGGCAGAGAAGAAAUCCGUCUUCACUAUUGUUUGCGAUGUCCCUGAUGAACUUAUUGAUUUCACG